GUGCCAGCAGCCGCGGUGAUACGUAGGGUGCGAGCGUUGUCCGGAUUUAUUGGGCGUAAAGGGCUCGUAGGUGGUUGAUCGCGUCGGAAGUGUAAUCUUGGGGCUUAACCCUGAGCGUGCUUUCGAUACGGGUUGACUUGAGGAAGGUAGGGGAGAAUGGAAUUCCUGGUGGAGCGGUGGAAUGCGCAGAUAUCAGGAGGAACACCAGUGGCGAAGGCGGUUCUCUGGGCCUUUCCUGACGCUGAGGAGCGAAAGCGUGGGGAGCGAACAGGCUUAGAUACCCUUGUAGUCC
RNAcentral lists this ribosomal RNA (292 nucleotides) under uncultured Cutibacterium sp. Its description in RNAcentral is "partial 16S ribosomal RNA". It matches the Rfam family "Bacterial small subunit ribosomal RNA", at positions 505 to 796 of the family's 1533-position model. Lineage: Bacteria; Bacillati; Actinomycetota; Actinomycetes; Propionibacteriales; Propionibacteriaceae. The record is from RNAcentral.